This 253-nucleotide ribosomal RNA is filed under the name uncultured bacterium. RNAcentral describes it as "partial 16S ribosomal RNA". It matches the Rfam family "Bacterial small subunit ribosomal RNA", at positions 524 to 776 of the family's 1533-position model. The record is from RNAcentral.
UACGUAGGGUGCAAGCGUUGUCCGGAAUUAUUGGGCGUAAAGGGCUCGUAGGCGGUCCAUCACGUCGGGAGUGAAAAGCUGGGGCUUAACCCCAGUCCUGCUUCCGAUACGGGUGGACUAGAGGUAGGCAGGGGAGAACGGAAUUCCUGGUGUAGCGGUGGAAUGCGCAGAUAUCAGGAAGAACACCGGUGGCGAAGGCGGCUCUCUGGGCCUUACCUGACGCUGAGGAGCGAAAGCAUGGGGAGCGAACAGG